RNAcentral lists this long non-coding RNA (13084 nucleotides) under Arachis ipaensis. Its description in RNAcentral is "long non-coding RNA (AIPA_LNC000051)". The record is from RNAcentral. Lineage: Eukaryota; Viridiplantae; Streptophyta; Magnoliopsida; Fabales; Fabaceae.
CACCGUUGCCACAACAUUCAUCUUAGAUAAAUCAUAAAUAUGCCACAUUGGAGCGAAGUCAACAAUCAGAAGAUAAUGACUGCAUCCCAAACGAACAAGUUUCCUUGGACAAGAUCCACGAACUGGAGGAAAAUUCCAAUCAAGGUAUUCCCAAUUGUUAGCCUUGACGUCAUAUGACACGAGCCCUUGAUGUUUCCCACGAGAAGCAUACAAUACAAUGUGGGUCUUCUUGUAAGGCUUGGUGCUGUCCUCCCACAGAAAGUAAGAGUCAGGGUCCGUGCAAUAUGAGAGGAGAGCACUUUCGGGCACUUCCCUUGUUUCCCAUAGACCUGAUUUUAGGCUAUAAAUAUCAACCCAGCCAUUUGCACUUCCACCACCCCCAAAGAUGUACAAUUUGCCAUCAUAGGGGACUACUAAGGGUCUUAAUCGGCGGCAGAACAUGCUUCCACAAAACUUCCAACUCCAAUUAGAACCCUCAUACUUGAGGCACCACAUCCUUGAGGGGUAAUGAUCAUCCAAAUUCAAACACAAUUCUGGAUCAAUAAAAGACAGGUUACCACCAGCAAAGAAGAAGCUGUGACCGACAGAACAAAAUCCUUGACAAUAUGGUAAUGGAUAAUCGACCAAUAGACCAUCUCUAAGAGGCCAUUUGGCAGUUACAUGACCUCCAUCUUCAAGAUCAACAGUGCCAUUCUUAAUAAAGUUGGCCUCAGUUAUAGUUAACAUCCUGCGCGUGACGGUUGAUUUCCCAACAUGAUUGCUUUCAAGAUCUAAAUUUUCCACCAACAGGUAUAAGCGCUGCGUCAUGGAUAGCUUUGGAUCAGAAGAACGAACAUCCUGGAAUUAGGGAAACAAUCAUAGAAUCAAAUCACAAUAAGUUUACAGCAAUUAACUAUUAAAUAGAAAGCUUUGCAGUGUGUUGAUGAUAAAUUGAAACGUCAUACUUAUCCAGUUAAGUUUAUAAGGAUAAGAGGAUGCAGAAACCGACCUCAGGAUCAUAUUCCCCGCACAUGGUAUCAGCAGCACCUCCCGAAACAGCACCUUGCAAAACCCCAACAACACUUCCCCACCAGCGGUCAAAAUCCGCGUUCAAUUCAACAGUGUCCCCUAAAUCCCUAAUAUGAUUGGCAGCCUUAGCCAUCAAAUUCGUGUCAUCUUCAGAAGCCCCUUUGCCGGCGACAAACGCACUGAAACUGUAAGCAUUCACAACUAAGGAUCCAAACUUACAGCCCUUCGCGUAAUUGAUGAUCCAACGGGCGAACAGCUUUGCUCCGAGAGGACGGUUGUCAGUGAAGAUGAAAUUUUGUCCGAGAAAUUGGUUCCAAACUUCCGAAGUUGAAGCAACGAGGACGACAAGGUUCUCCUUGGGUAGGGCUUCGGGCACGUAAUCCCUGGCAUCUACAAGCUCCAUAACGACGCCGAACGUCUCGAACAAAUCGCAGAGGCACGAAGCUAGGGCUUUUGAGGUUCCGAUUUGGGAAACAAAUAGAAUCUUGCCAGUUGAAUUGCUUUUAGGUUGUUCAUGAUGGAGUCUUAUGAGGUUCUUUUCGUGGGAGUAGAGGCGCAUGAGGCGAGACUUGCAGAUUAAUAACAAGGUUGUGGCAGUGGCCGAGACGACGGUCACGGUGGACAAGAGCGCAGAAGUAUCUGCUUCUAACGACGACAACAACGAAAGUAUUGCCAUAUUUCUUUUCUGCUUCAGAGGGUUUCCACUUUCCACCCCCCCCUCCUCUUUUUUUCCCCAGUUGCUGAAGAGAGUCGGUGUGUGUUCGUUGAUGGCAAAACAGAGGCGGUGGAAUGAGAGAAAAGAAUAAGUAUGACACCAGACCCCCUCCUCUUCAUUAUAACAUUUUUAGAUAAUGAAAAUAAAAGUGAAUGAAAGCAAAAUGAAAAGAAAGAUUAUUAAAAGUUAUAAUGAAUAAUUGAAAAAAAAUAGAACAAGUAUAAAAUGCCACAUUUAGUAAUGUUGUGAUAGUAUCUAAACAGAAUAAUUUUGAUUAUUUUAAUUUAAAUAUAGUUGUAAAUGAAGUUAAGAAAAAUGUUAUAGUAAAUUACAAUUUGAUAUUAAAAAUAAAGUUGAAUACAAAUAUGAAAAUAAUAAGUAAUUAAAUAUAAAUAUAAUUGAUGAUAUUUUGAUGUAGAAGUAGUAGUAAUUUUGCCAGAAAUUUAGGUUUUAAUUAAAUAUAAGUAUAAUUGUAUUUUAGUUUUAUGUAUGUAUAUAUAAUAUGGUGUAUUUAAGGGGUUUUAAUUAAAUAUAAGUAUAAUUGUAUUUUAGUUUUAUGUAUGUAUAUAUAAUGUGGUGUAUUUAAGUGAAUUUGUAUAUAAAAAGAGAGGAAUUAUUUAUUUAAUUUUGUAUUUCUUUAGUGUGCAGUCUUGCUAAAACUAUAGGAGAACAAAUUUGUUUAAAUAAAUUUCAUAAUGUUGGAAUCAAAUUAAGAAAAAAUCAAAUAGAAGAUGCGUAAUUAGUUAGAACGUUUUUUUAGGAGUUCAUGAUUUUUUUUUUAAAGUUGGAUUUUGUGGCUAGUUAGAAAUUUAUUUCCAUUGUAGUUAUUUCUAUUAUUUUAGUAAUUUAAUUAGAUUUGUGGAUAUUGUGCUUAUUUUUUCAUGUGGACUAGAAAAGACAAAAUGUCUAAUAACUAAUAAGAGACAAGUUGGAGGUAUGUCCGUGCAUUAUAUAAACCUAAUUUGUAAAGAACAUUUCUUUUUCUCCUAAAAGAACGGGCAUGUCGAACAAGUUAUUGAGAAUAGAGAAAAAGGGAUACCACCCGAACAAAGUUUUUUAUUCAUCCAUAUAGAACGAUCUACCAACAAAAAUAAUAAAGCACAUGUAAUAAUGACCCGCUAUUAUUUUUUAUUAUGGGAUUUAUAAUUAAAAUUAAUCUACAACAUUAAACUACUUUUAUUUUUAAUAAUAAUAAUAAUUUAUAGCAAUACAUAAAGAAAAUAGAAAAAUUUGGUCUCCAAUUUUCGCUUCCUCAUCUUAACCCUAUUAGUAAAGAGCAACUGAAAUAUCUUUUUAUUUUGAAAAAAAAAGCCAAAAAAAUAAAUUAUUAAUUAACUUUUUUUAUUCCGGUUACUUUUUUAUUCCACGUAUAACUUCCAAUCACUUCGUCUUCUUUAUUAUCCCAUUUUUUUAGGUAUUUGUCUAUUUUUUAUUAAUUUUUUUAUCUCUUUGUAUCUUUUUUUAUUUAUUAAAUUAAUUAUAUAUUACUUUUAUUUUUGAGAAUUAAAAAAUAAACCAAAAUGAUAAAUUCAAAGGUUUUCUAUUUUUUUUUAUAUAGUGUUUUACUUUAAGUAAUUAUUUUUUAUGGAUAAUAUUUAAAUGACAAAUAAAAUAGUAAAAAGAUUUAUAGGGUGAGAUUGAAAACCAGAACAUACAUCUACACUUUGAACUAUGUCCGGCCUAGAAGAUGUUAGAUACAUUAAUGAUCCAAUCAUAUCUUUAUACUGGAUUUCAUCAACAUAUUUUCCAUUUUUACCCUUGUCAAGUUUUGUAUUUGAAUGUAUAGGUGUACUCAUUGGUUUGGAGUUUUCUAAACUAAAUUUCUUUAUUAACUCUUUGGCAUAUUUACCUUGGUGAACAAAGAUGCCACUAGGAGUUUGCUUGACUUGAAAUCUAAGAAAAAAUGUUAGUUCUCCCAUCAAACUCAUUUCAAACUCGUUAUUAGUCAUUAGAUUUCCAAACUCUUUGCACAAUGAUUCAUUAGCUGAUCCAAACACAAUAUCAUCCAUAUACACUUGGACAAGGAAGAAAUCAUCAUUAGAUUAUUUGAUAAAUAAAGUAGUAUCGAUAGUACCCCUUAAAAAAUCAUUUCGCAGCAAGAAGGCACUAAACCUUUUAUACGCUCUUGGAGCUUGCCUAAGGCCAUAAGAAGACUUUGAUAGUUUAAAAACAUAAUUAAAAAAAUCUUUGUUUUUAAAAUCUGAGAGUUGAGCUACAAAUACUUCUCUAACAAUAGUUUAUAAAAUAAUAAUUUUUUAAUAUCUUAUUUAAUUUAAAUUUAUAAAUUUUAUACAUUCUAAAAAUUAAAUAAUUUAAAAAAUAUUUUUACCUUUAAAUUUUUUGUUCUUAAUAUUUAAAUUAUUCUAUUAAAUUUAUAAUUUUAAUUCUAAGACGAAAGAAUUCCAUAGCCAAUACCACGAGAUAGAUAAAAUGGAUCCGAGUAUUGCUCCAACAAUCACCUGCUUCACUGUAUGAAGCUUUUGCGACACCCGUAGAUAUGACUGCUUACAUAGCAUACAAAAUGGCCGUAAGCAAUUUAUUUACGCUUACAUCAGCAUAUUGUAAACUUCAAAUAGUGAUAAUAUUUUUUUAAACUCACUUACAAUUAAUUUUAUGUGGAGUUGAUAGUUGAGAGUCGUUAAAUAAUUUGACAGAUUUUAUUAAAUUGUCAUUUAAAUGAUUCUCAACUAUCAAUUUCACAUAAAAUUAACUGCACCUAAAUUUUUAUAUUUAACGAGAUAUAUAGAGAGAUAUCAGAAAUAAAAUUAAUUAUAUUUAAUGAUGACAAAAAUUGGUUGGAUUAUGAAUUAAUAAUCCAAAUUAAAUUGUUAGUUUAGUUCGAUGUGAGUUUUACUUUUAGUAUUGGGCAUAUCCAAAAUCAACAAGUGAACAUCCCAAAAUAAAGUCGAGCUAGAAUAAUCUCACAAGGCCAAAGCAUAAGACAUAGUGCUGAAAUUAGAAAGAAAAAAAAGCUGCAAAUUUGGGGGCCAAACUUCAAAAUAAGGAAAAAUGACAACAUUAAUUUGUACUAAUGAUUGGAUAAUAAUGAAGGAUAAAGGGCAGCAUCAUGAUAUGCAGUAAGCACAGCCUACAAAUAUUUAGAUUUGGAGGUGCAGAAAUUAUCAUUUAUAUUGUUUGCAUUUUUUAAAAAUUGAAGACAAGAAAAGGGAGCAUUCCUUAUAUAUAUGAAUAAUUAAACUUAAAUCUUGUGUUAUUAUUUUGUUUUUGUUAUUCAAAAGAACUAUUAUUGAUAAUAUUUUAGGAGUAAAUAAGUUUAAACAAAUAAAAAAUAAAUUUUUUUUAUUUUUUUUUGUAAAAACAGUCAAAUAGAAUCUUAAAAUAGUUUUUUUUGUAAUUAUGCGGAUAUACCCAAUAUCCGAUCCGAUCCGAUCCGCAUAUUUUGGUCAUUAUUAUGAUUAUUUCCUUCUCUGAAUUCACGCUCUCUUAUUUUCUGAAUUGGUUCACAAUUUUUGUUUCUUCGCAAACAAGGAAUGAAGCCUCCACCAGGCAAGACAGAUCUUGAGGCAGAGGAACUAGCACGAAACGACAUAGUUUUCAAGUAUCUCAGUUUUGCCAAUUUCAUCCCCAGAAAUUCAGAAGAUGAGCUGAAGCAAAUGGAGGUUGUUGCUACUGUCAUUGUAAUGUUAUAUAUACUACUAUAUCUAUAUACCAAAAAUUGUUAUCAAAUUUUGAUAGUUUAGAAGUUUUUAACUAAGUCUUUCACUAUAUUAUACCAUUUUAUCUUUUUCUUUAUUUAUUAAAAACAAUAAUCAAACACUUAUUUUAGAAGAUAAAUUUUUAUUCCUUUUUUCUCAAGAUGGUUUAGUAUAGGGAUUUCAUCACAAUUUUUAAACUAUUAAAACUUAAUUAUUGAAUAGCCUUUGUAGAGAUUUAACUAGAAAUACUUGAGUAAAAUAAUUUUUUAUUAUAUAAAAACAUAAUUAUAUAUUUUUAAAAUGCAAGAAUCUAAUUAAAUAUUGAGUAAAUUUAUAAGAGGUCUAAAAUUGUUAAACAAACCAAGGUUAUUAAAGUACAGAACAUGCUAUUUGUAGCAUAAGACAAAGUAACCUCUUCCACAUUUCUACGACUUUCCAUCCAAAAGUCCAAAACUAGUGGAAAGGGAAUAUUUCCUCUGGAAACUGAUAGAGAUCCUUCUGCAGGUGGUUGGCUAACAAGUAUAAACAAGGUUAUUAAUUGAAUAUAUACUUUUGAUAUAACAAGUUUAUUGUAUAUUUCAUUACUCCAUAUAUAUAUAAUAAACAUUAGCCAAUAAUCGGUCCAGACUAAUUCAGUUCAAGAUAAAAUUCAUUUAAUGGUGAAUCAAUUAAAAUAAAAAAAAAUUAUUAGAUAAUCGAUUAAUCAAUCAAAUCGAUACGAAUUUUAACGAUUAAUUGAUUUAAAAUAAUAAAUUAUAAAAAGUCAACUUUAAAAAAAUUAUAUAUAUUAUUGUUAUAUCUGGUUCAAUUUUAAUGAAAUUUCGAUUAAAUUUUUAAAUUAUUAAAUUUUUAAUUCUACUGUUGACCGGAAUCGUGUAAGGUACUUAGGUUUAAUUAUUUUCAUUAAAAAGAUAUCAGAAACAUAGCUGGUCAUUAUGUCUUCCCUUUUGUCUCAUUCCCUGUUGACUAUAAGUAGUUAUUUCUUUUAAGAAUAAGACAAGACAACCUUUGAAUUAUUCGACUAUAACCAGCAUAGUGGCAAUCAUGUGAUAAUUGGAUCUUUAUAUAUCUUUGUGUGUGGUCGUCGGUGCGAUCCAUUAGAAAGAGUGGCAUGCUCGUUUUUGAAUAUUCUUUAAUUAUAAUAUACAAUAUACAAGAAAUUUCAAUAAACCCUUACUUCCAUUUACCAAUGAAAAGACAUUACAAGAUAAAAUAUUUCAUGGAUGAUUUCUACUAGAAGAAUCAAGGGAUUGAUCUAUGAAUUCCGUUCACUAUUGCCAAGUUGGAGUUGCCUUUAGAAAGAUUGAGGUUGAGAGACAAAAAUAAAAAGAUAUAAAUUGUGUUAGGUUAAAUUAAAUUUUUAUAUUAUAUUUAGUGUAAAGUAUAUAAUAUUAAAAAUAACUUAUCAAAAACUAACUUGUUGAGUGAUCUAAUAACAUAGUAAGUAAAAAAAAAAAUCAGUUAUUAACAUCAAAUUAUAACAAUUAAUUAAUGUCAUUAAAAUUGGACAAACUCAUUAUUUAAAUUUGUAUUAUUACAGGAGACUUUUCUAAAAUCAAUAAAAAAAUUUUGUAACAUUAGAAAAAUACUAUCACCGAAUUAUAAUCAUCGACCACAAUUAUAUUGUAUAGAAUUUUAUCAUAAUUGUGAUUUUUUUAUUUUUUAAAAUUUAUCUACAGAAAUGAGAGUUAUGGAACGAGAACAAGAAGCAUUUUCCUGAUCAGGAACGGAUGCCGGAAAAAGAUCUCCACCCCUAUAAAUAUCCAUUGUCAUCCCUAGUAACAAGUAGGAGUAGCAGUGAACCGAGUAGAGGCAGGUUUUUCCCCUACUUAACCCGCCCUUCCUUAACACGUAUAAAACCCCACCCCAAUAACUAUUCGAAUCUAGCAAACAAGAUUAAUUUUUAAAAUUUAUACAACUAUGACCACGUCUGAACAUAAACUAAAAACACAAGAAACCGCUACUACAUAAUUGACUUUUACUAAUAUUUAAAAAAUAUUACUAAAUUAUAUUAAAAUAUUACCUAUGUAUAUUAGUAAUAUUUUAACAAAUGUUAUAUAUACUCUAUUUUACUAAAAAAUUUUACUAACAUUCUUCUAAAGAUUUAAAUAGAUCUAAUAACAUUUAGUAAAAAUGUUACAAUAGACCAUUCAUAAUAACACUUAGAAAAAUAUUACAAUAGAUAUUUUUUAUAACACUUAAAAAAAUAUUACCAUAGAUAAUUUUUGUAACAUUUAGAAAAAUAUUACCAUAAAUAUUUUCUGUAACACUUAGCAAAAUGUUACAAUAGAUAUUUUUUUGUAAUAUUUAAAAAAUAUUACGAUAAAUAUUUUAUAUAACACUUAAAAAAUAUCACAAUAAGUCUUUCUAAUAACACUUUAAAAAAAUAUUACAAUAGAUAUUCUAUAACAAUACUCUAAUAAAUGUCACAAAAAAAUUUCUUUGCUAACAAAAAAUAUUACAAUAGAUCUUUAGUAAUAUUUAAAUGCACAAAAUAUCAAAUUAAAAUUUUUUCCUUCAAUUACAUAUUCUACGCCUACUUUACAAAUUAAAGUCAAGAUAUUUAGACAUUAAAAUUGAUCUAAUAAAUCAAUUUUCCUAUUUCUUCAAUAUGCUUACAUGAAUAAAUCCAAAAUAUACUAGAGGAUCCAAAAUGAUGCUUUACUCAUGAAAUAAACUAAUAUAAAACAGCACACAAAAAGCAAAAUAUUUUAAUGCUAUUGUGGAUGAUUCGAUUAAAAGACUCGAAUUAAAGCAAAAGACACCAAUCUUAAUAGCAAAAUUACACCUGACUUAUCAUGUUCUUUAUCUCGUCCAUGUGAUCAGAAACACGAGGCUCUUGAGAAGGUUUCUCACACUGAAGAUCAGUCAUAUCAACAUUAUAUUCAUGGCAAAAACGGUUGCUUACGUCCAACGGAUUGUCACCAAUCUCAUUUGCUCUCUUAAUUAUCUGCAGCAAUUCUGAUAUUAGCAGUCACAAAUAGUCAUUAAAGAAUAACAUAAGAGACUCAUUUAAAAUAAUAUUGCUUCAAGGUCUAUAUUUUGUAGGACAAAUGGACUGGUGAAAUUUCUAAAUGAUAGAUAUAUGUAUGUCUCAAUGGCACAUAGCUAACUUUUUAAAAUCACAUAAAACAAAUUAUAAUUGACAGAAACAGAAGCAUGCAGUUAUAUUUUGGAUUACAGCGAAAACUUCUCAAUAUUAAUACUAACGAAGGGUGAAAGGGGUUACCUUGUCAUCAACUUCAGUGAAAUUCCGCACAUAUGUUACCUCAUAGCCCAAAUGCACAAGGUACCUGCAGGUUUUCAUGCCAAGUAUGCUACCUCUGUAUCUAAUGCAAGUAAUUAAAGGAAGGCAAGAAUAGAAAGAGUAGUUAAAAUACUCUAAAUCUUAUAUCUGAAUUUAAUCUUAAUAACAAUAGCAGGACUACACCACCAUCAAGGACAGAAGCAAAAUACUGACUUUAUGCUUUACUUAAGACAAUAAUACGAUAAAUUAAUAACCUGAAAUCCAUAGAAGACCCGUGUUGUCACCUUCAACCAGGCCACUGCUAACUACUAACUAGUUCCAUCAAAUAAAACAAAUAGCAUUUUUUAUUAUGAUACUCUCAAAUUGAUAAUGUCAUUUUUAUUUAGAAAAUACCUUUUUUUUAAAAUAAAAAUCACAUUUAUAACAAAAACUUUAUCAAAUUUAAGUUAUAUUAUUAAAAGUGGAAUGAUAAUAUCUUCUCACGAUACCAGCAAGAAUGAAGAUAAAUGAUCCAGUUGAAAGUAGCAUUCGUCCUUCAAGAUGGGAAUAGCUAAUGCAAGCAGAAAGUAUUAUCAAGGAAGGGAGCAAAGAAGAGGGGGAUGACAGAUGGAGCAGCAUGGGGCACAUGAUCUGGGCUAUAUGGAAGACGAAAAAUGCAGCAAUAUUUCACAAUCUAAAACCAGAUCCUCUAAGCACUAUAUAAUCCAAGCUAGAGUACAAGAAACAGAAUACAAGAAAGCCAGGGAUACCACAGAGCAAAUAGAAUCAAAGCCAGUAGAGGAACCAUACCAGUAAAGUGGAGGCCACUGCCCAAAGAAUAACUCAAGAUCAACACAGAUGCAGCGUUCUCAGAGCACAGCAAAACGGGUGAUGGUUGCAGUAAUCAGGGAUGACAGUGGUUCAGUAAAAGGUGGAACUGCAAGAAAAAUCAGGGCAAGCUCAGCUCUCAUGGCAGAAGCAAUGGCAGUGAGAGAAGCAGUAAUUAUGGCAAAAAAUCUAGAUAUGGGAAAAGUGCUCAUUGAAACAGACUGCUUACUGCUAAUUGAGGCUGUUAAGGCUAGAGGAGAGCUGUGGGAAAUUGACCCCAUACUGCAAGACAUUAGAGCUAUAGCUGCAGAUUCCCCACUAAGGAGAGAAACAAAUAAAACAAAACGUCCUUGUUAGUUGCUACUGUGUGUGUGUGUUGUCUAUCUAGUAUUUUAUCUCAAGAUACAUAUAAUAAAGUGUAAACAACAUUAAAAAGUUAGUUCUACCACAUUUUUUUUUUAAAAUAUAACGGUUUACUGUAAACUAGUCUCAACCAUUUCAAAAGCAAAUUAAGAUAGAAUAAAAAAGGGGCAAGAUCAAGAGAGAAUAAAGAGCAAAAAUGCAAGAGGAUAUAGCUAGAGGCUCUUAUCCUUGUAAUAAAUAAGAGCUUCCAGUUUCAGUUCCUCCUCAUUUUUCUUUAAUUAUUUUGAAUUUACACAAUUAGCAGACUCUCAAUUAGAAAACCAUAAUACCCUUGUUUUGAACCAAAUGAAUUAUAACAACCACUUAAUUUGAUAAAUAAAAUAAAAUGAGCACCACUUAAUACUAUUUAAAAUUAAGAAAUUAUCCAAAGAAUAUACAUAUGCUCUAAGCCUAGUAGUGUAGCAUCUCCCAACAGCAGUUGCUUUGUUUUUUGCAAUUUGCACCUAAUCAAUGAAGGCUUCUUUUGCUUUCACGAUUUGCUAUGGCUGUAUGCUGCUGCGGCACAAGAAAACAAUGAAAAAGAAAGGGUAUCAAAGGACGUGAUUGUGCAUCAUAUGCUGACAUGUAUUGCCAUUUAACUAAUUUAAGAGUCCUAGUGAUAACAAUGAUUAUCUGGAAUCACCAGAAUUGAUUUAUUUUCCUAGUAUCCUAUUUUUAAGAAGUUGAUUUACAAUUCAACUCUGAAUCUAAUAUUUUUAUGCAGAGAAGAAAAAAGAAGGAAUGACAAGAGAUGUUAGUGAUCAAAGCACACCUCAAUAUCUUAGUUCAAGCAGUCCAAGUCCUACUUUAACAUCUUCAAUCAUAGGAUAAUUCAAAUGCCAAAACAUAUAUAAUACUAAUAAUGAAUGAAAAUAGAACUAGAUAUGUGAAAAUACAUGAAUUCGGUAUGAAAAAAGAACCAAAUACAUAAAAGUAAUCGAAAAGACAAAAUGUGCUAACACUUCAUAAUAUCCUCAUAAGUCUCAAUGAAAACAAUACAUAUAUGAUAUGAUUCAGACCUUAUAUCAAACAUGUAUUGUGCAGCUACAUCUAACCAACCUAUGCUGCACCAAAUCGAAAUGUAUAGAGCAAAACAUAGCAAAUAACAUUUAAUUAAUUAAAAUAGGACUGUGAGAUAAGAAUGCUAAACAUUAUAUACAUAUUAAACUCUUGCUUAACCUUGAAAUUGAGUUAACAAUGACAAGAAGGAAACUUACGUUCGACAUACCCCAGCAAUCAAAUUGAUUUAUUUUAAGUUCUAAAUUUUGACAUAGCUGAAAGAGAACAUGUUUCUAACUUCAAGAAAAGUGUCUUUGGUUUAUCCAAAUCAAUGAGCAAAUAUUUAUAAAAUUCAUAAUAAGAAUUUAGCUCACACAUUUUAUUAUUACCAUUGGCAUAUGAGAAGGAGACAGAGCAAGAUUGAGAGAUUCAGAGCACUGAGAGUGAAAGUGAGAGUGAGAACACGCGAUGCUUACGGAGAUCUUCCGGCGUGGAGAAUUGGUGGCGACCAGAGGGCUUGCUCUUGAAUUUCCCCUUUUCAUCACAAUUCCGAUUUAAUCACUCACGCACACUACGAUCAGAUUAGAAUAAUGCAACUCUUCUUCUGCACGUAAUUUUUUGGAACAAAAUUAAAAAGAAAUCGGAACAAGCAUGAAACGAAAAUGAAAUAAUCAGAAUUGAGAAUAAUCAAACCCUAGAAUUAGAUUGAGAUUGAAAAAGGUUUCAAGGAGAACAAUCACGAUCCAGAGAAAGAGGGAGAGGAAGAGAUUGUGAUGGAGAAUGGUUUUUUGAUUCUUGAUUUCAAAGGAAACAAUCAUUGUGAGCACCGAUUGAAAGCACUGAGCAAGAAAACAUGCAAUGGUUCGUGAGAGGUUUUUGGAAGAGUAUGAAUCCUAUUGUGUUUAGGAAUAGGAAUAGGUAACAGUUCUUUAAACUUUUUAAGAAAAUUAACUAUAUUUACUAACAUUUUAUUGUAAAUGUUAUCAAAAAUAUAUUUUAUCUACAAUGCUAACAUUUUAACAAAUGUUAAGAGACAAAUGUUACUAAAUAUAUAAAAUGUAGUAGUGAACGUACAAUGUCAAACAACAUAAAAAAGAGGGGAGAAAAAAAACCAAUGUCUAGUCACUAAACAAAUUUAACACAAUUAAUCUUGGUCGCUUUCUAACGCAUCAUCAUUAAUAGUUUGGAGGUCAAGAUUGAAACCCGAAAAUCAAGAGUACAAUAGCAAUUAACAAAUUAAUUUGCAUUCCUUCCUUCUUCAGGAGUAUGAGUGCCACCAACAAGAAGCACCCUCAAACAUAAUGGAAUAUUGGAACCAAGUGCAAAAAUAUACAAAUCAGUAAAACCAUUAAGCAAAGAUGAGCAGACCUAUCAUUAAAUUUAAGCACAUUUUCAAUAAAAUUGGAUAGCAUUAAUUUUGUUGAAUAUACAUUUAUUUGUUGCUAGAUUCUGACAAUUUUAUGGUGAGUAUAUUCAUUAGUUAAAAUUUUAAAAAAUAAUGACCAUUCAAGGUGUAAUUUUUCUUUCAGGAUUUGGGAGUUUUCAAUUUUAGGAUACUGUGCAAAUAUUCUUCUUUAAUUUCAACGUCUUAAACAAAGAAUUUCUUACAAUUAUUGGUCUUCAUCUCCAACAGCAAACCUGUCCAGUGUCCACAGAGAUAAAGAAGUAAAUAUCAAAGCUCAAUGAACACGGUCAAGAAGUUUAAAGAGAGAAAGAGGGGCAUACUCACAUAUAAAGAUUUACAUAAUCACCAAGGUUAAGAUUACCCUUGGAUUCAAUCUUGGCAGAAAAAGUUUUGAGUUGGAGCUUGACUCUGGCAUAAGAAACAACCCCAGAACCAGAGUUAGUAGAUGGCUCUCCCUCGAAAACAUUUCCAGGUUCCAUGAACAUAUAAAUCAAACUUUCAUCGCUAGUGUUGUGGCAACAAAAAAUAUACGUUACUUCUGCGGUCUUGUCCAAACCAUGCACCCCCACAGUUGCCACAACAUUCAUUUUAGAUAAAUCAUAAAUAUGCCACAUUGGAGCGAAGUCAACAAUCAGAAGAUAAUGACUGCAUCCCAAACGAACAAGUUUCCUUGGACAAGAUUCAGGAACUGGCGGAAAAUUCCAAUCAAGGUAUUCCCAAUUGUUAGCCUUGACGUCAUAUGACAUGAGCCCUUGAUGUUUAUCACCACAAGAAUACAAUACAAUGUGGGUCUUCUUGUGAGGCUUGGUGCUGUCCUCCCACAGAAAGUAAGAGUCAGGGUUCAU